GACUGCUGGCUGAAGCUGUUGCUUCCACAGGACCCGCUCGGCUCUCCUUGCUCAGGAGGUGGACUGGAUUUCUGAGAUGGGACUUGGAUGCAACUGUCAGCAAAGCUGUGGUCAUUCGUGGAAGCACGGUUGGAAGAGUGCCCUAAAAAGAAGGUGACUUGCCUCAACAUUUCAGUCGGGAGUUGUGAAUGGACAGAGUUAUGAAACUGUCCUCCGUGCCUUAAGCUAGGAGUAUCAAGAGAGGAGCGAGAGGAGCAGCUCGGAGGCGAGAGAGAGGGGGGAACGCCGAUACUCUUUCGGGUCAGGAAGAAAACGCGCGGCAUGCCACGCCGAUUUCCAGGAACGCGGCCGCGGGCACCGCUGACCCCGGCCCGGUCCCACCCAGCGGGACUGCUGCCGCGGGAGCGCUUCCGAUCCCCGUGAAGGCGCGCUCCCCACCGCGCCGAGCAGAGCGGCUAUCGCACCCCAGACGCCUCCCCGCCAGACCCCGCAGGGUCACCGCAGGUUUGGGAGCUGGCAUUUCUUUGUGGAAACGUCUUCUCUUCCUCCCGGGAUCUGCUGAGUGUCUUUACACGCUCGGGGCAGAGC
Long non-coding RNA from Gymnogyps californianus (California condor), 588 nucleotides. RefSeq lists it as uncharacterized. The transcript is spliced from 5 exons. NCBI's taxonomy places the organism in Eukaryota, Metazoa, Chordata, Aves, Accipitriformes, Cathartidae. The record is from RefSeq and is a predicted model, not a curated record.